GGCAGUCUUAGGCUGAGGGAACAUUUUCCAGAGUAUAGCCGAGGGACAGAAUGUCUCAGUAAGACGGGCUCGGAGGGGAAGUGUUUUGGAAAGGCCUCUGCUUGCUCUGGGAGGCGUUCAGGAUGCUGAGGUUUUGGAAAUCUAUGGCGGCUCUUCACAACUGCUCCCAGCUUUGGGAGGAGGAAUAGACGGGUGCUCGUUUCCUCGGGUUCAGUGGCAAAGGUGAAGACCAGCACUGCCGACCUGGGACCUGGGCCUCUCCCGGGCCUGGGGAGGACACUGGACUUUGAAGGGGAAUGCAGCCUAGAAGGCCUGGACCCUGGAGUCAGGAGAUGCUGCUCCCAUCCAGUAAGCCCUGGCUGGAGCUCUUCUGGGCACCAACCCUGGCAUAAAACCAGUGGGGCCUCUGGGCCUGCACUCAACAGUGCCUCUGAUGGAGCAGGUUCAGCUUGGUUGUGACCUCUGCUAGAAGCCCUCCCUGGCCUCCCUGUGCACUGAGCUGGUGGUUCCUCCUUUGCGCCCCAGGUACAUGCUCAGAUCUGUGUACCCUACACUUUGUCCUCCAGCUUCGUGUUUGGAUGUUCACAACUCCCAUGAGAAGGGCCCCCGAGAGCUGGCACAGUGCAUGUGUUUCCUCUCCAGACUUCUACAAACCUGGCACAUAAUUGUUUGCUGAAAGAUGGCAUGUUCCUAAAACAGAGGAAGUAGAACCGAAUAAAGCGAAAUCCAACUUCCCACUCCCUGCUCUCACUUCCUCUGGGACAGGCCUUGAGCAAGAGAGACAAAAAGAACAAGAGAUGAUCUUUCCCUUUAAUGGGAUUUCAGUCUGAUCAGGGAGAUAGUAACAGAAAGACUAGACUAGACUAGUGUAUGAUUAAAUGACAUUUGCCAUCCCCAGAAGAGGGAGAGACCUGCAUGGAACAGGGUGGUCAAGGCAGGCUUCCUGGAGGAGGCAAAGACUUAGAUUUAACAGUACCAGAGCUCCAGGAUAGAUCCUCCUCUGACUGAACUCCCUAUUUCUUUCUCCCACCCCAACCUUCCCGGGUCCCCAGCUGAAGGGAUACGUGUGUGUGUGUGUGUACAUGUGCCUGCACACAUGUACACAUGUGGUUAGAAAGGGGGUAUUAGUAUCUCUCUCCUAGGAUGGAGUCUCAAGGACAGGCCCAUCAUCUCCUCAGUUUGCCCCUCUCUCUCCCACUUCACCUAGGGAAUGGAAUAAGAAUGGGAUAAGUAUAACACAAUGAGACGAAUGCAGAACCAACUAGAUGUACACCCAACAAUGUGGAUGAACCUUAAAACAGUGCUGCCUGAAGAAGGCAAGAAACAGAAUGAAAUCUGCAGCACAUCAUUCAUAUAAACUAAAAAUACAUGCACAGAGAAAGGCCACUUUUUUUUUUUUGGAGACAAAGUUUCGCUCUUGUCACUCAGGCUGGAGUGCAAUGGCACGAUCUCGGCUCACUGCAACGUCCACCUCUAGGGUUCAAGCGACUGUCCUGCCUCAGCUUCUAGAGUAGCUGGGAUUAUAGGAGCCCACCACCAUGGCCGGCUAAUUUUUGUCUUUUUAGUAGAGACGGGGUUUCACCAUGUUGCCCAGGCUGGUCUCAAACUCCUGACCUCAGGUGAUCCACGUGCCUCGGCCUCCGAAAGUGCUGGGAUUACAGGCGUGAGCCACCGCACCCAGUCAGCAACGUAUGUUUUGUAGAGACACAGACAAAGAUGUGAUGUCAAACACACUAAUGUGGUUGCCUCAUUUAUGGAUGGGGGACUGGGCUGGUGAAUGAGGAUUAAAGGAAUAAAUAAAUAAAACAAGAGAGGGCCUCUGUACAGAACGGUGAUGACAGCGUGCCGUCGAGGAGAAUGAUGAACUCAAACUUUUGCACCUGAGAGCCAAACAAAAGCUCAAAACCAAAAUCUCUCUUAGAAAUGAUGCCACUGACUUUAGGAUGGCACUCAUAUCUGUGUGAGUGGGAGAGAGAAGGGUUUGGGGCAGGGAUUUGACUGUAGCUGUAAUGUUUUAUUCCUUUAAAAAAGAUAAGAUAAUCUGAAACAAAAUGUUAAUAUCUGUUGAAUCUGGGGAGAGGCUAUGAGGGUUUCUGUUAAACCAUUUUGUGUACAUUUUAAAUACAGUCAUGCAUGAGUUAAUGAUGGGGAAUAAGUUCUUAGAGAUACGUUGUUAAGCAGUUUUGUUAUUGUGUGAACAUUAUCGAGUGUACUUACACAAACUUAGGAUGGAAUAGCUGACUAUAUAACUUAGACUAUAUGGUCUAGCCUAUUGCUUGAAGGCUGCAAACCCAUACUCCAUGUUACUGUACUGAAUAAUGAAGACA
RNAcentral lists this long non-coding RNA (2327 nucleotides) under Homo sapiens (human). RNAcentral describes it as "long intergenic non-protein coding RNA 2580". Lineage: Eukaryota; Metazoa; Chordata; Mammalia; Primates; Hominidae. The record is from RNAcentral.